GCAGCCAUGACCUAGUGGUUAGCGCUGUCGUUUUCCAAAAUUUAGGUCCCGGGUUCGACUCCCCACAGGUGGCAGUC
Molecule: non-coding RNA, 77 nt
Organism: Caenorhabditis brenneri
Lineage: Eukaryota; Metazoa; Nematoda; Chromadorea; Rhabditida; Rhabditidae
Source: the annotation of a GenBank genome assembly